UGGGUGUAUAGCUUAAUUGGUAGAGCAUUAGGCUUUUAACUUAAUGGUCGCAGGUUCAAGUCCUGCUAUACCCAA
This 75-nucleotide transfer RNA is filed under the name Pohlia nutans. Its description in RNAcentral is "tRNA-Lys". It matches the Rfam family "tRNA". From Rfam's summary of the family: Transfer RNA (tRNA) molecules are approximately 80 nucleotides in length. Their secondary structure includes four short double-helical elements and three loops (D, anti-codon, and T loops). The record is from RNAcentral. Lineage: Eukaryota; Viridiplantae; Streptophyta; Bryopsida; Bryales; Mniaceae.